UCUGGAGAGGAGAGAGACUGGACACACUCU
Molecule: non-coding RNA, 30 nt
Filed under: Cricetulus griseus (Chinese hamster)
Lineage: Eukaryota; Metazoa; Chordata; Mammalia; Rodentia; Cricetidae
Source: RNAcentral